ACCACCGGGAUGUUCAUACCCCUUGUUGGUCCGACUCUGUUGCCUCCGGGGCGACCCUGCCUUCGGGCGGGGGCUCCGGGUGGACACUUCAAACUCUUGCGUAACUUUGCAGUUCUGAGUAAACUUAAUUAAUAAAUUAAAACUUUUAACAACGGAUCUCUUGGUUCUGGCAUCGAUGAAGAACGCAGCGAAAUGCGAUAAGUAAUGUGAAUUGCAGAAUUCAGUGAAUCAUCGAAUCUUUGAACGCACAUUGCGCCCCCUGGUAUUCCGGGGGGCAUGCCUGUUCGAGCGUCAUUUCACCACUCAAGCCUCGCUUGGUAUUGGGCAUCGCGGUCCGCCGCGUGCCUCAAAUCGACCGGCUGGGUCUUCUGUCCCCUAAGCGUUGUGGAAACUAUUCGCUAAAGGGUGUUCGGGAGGCUACGCCGUAAAACAACCCCAUUUCUAAGGUUGACCUCGGAUCAGGUAGGGAUACCCGCUGAACUUAAGCAUAUCAAUAA
This 497-nucleotide unclassified non-coding RNA is filed under the name Cladosporium anthropophilum. Its description in RNAcentral is "sequence contains ITS1, 5.8S rRNA gene and ITS2". The stretch from base 141 to 294 matches the Rfam family "5.8S ribosomal RNA". Lineage: Eukaryota; Fungi; Ascomycota; Dothideomycetes; Cladosporiales; Cladosporiaceae. The record is from RNAcentral.